Molecule: long non-coding RNA, 2333 nt
Organism: Haplochromis burtoni (Burton's mouthbrooder)
Lineage: Eukaryota; Metazoa; Chordata; Actinopteri; Cichliformes; Cichlidae
Exons: 2
Source: RefSeq, a predicted model, not a curated record
AUCCAGGGAAGGACGGACGUUGUUUUGCUGUGCUGUAUUUUAAUGUGAAGUGUACAUAUUUAUUUUUUAUAUUGCAUGCAUUAGUUAUAUUUUUGUGCAGUGUUUUAUUUAGUUUGCAUGUUUUAGUUGCUGGCAAAUUGUCCUGGAGAGACUCCGCCCUUUCCCCCGUUUUUUACUAAUUGGACACACCUGAAGAGGAAAGGAAAGGUAAAUUACAGAGUGCUCAAUGACACAUAAAAGGGUUGGAGCCUGUGUUCACAAAAAGACGGACAGAGGAGAAUGCGAGACAGACAGAGGAAACACACAGACGAUGAGAGAGUAGAGAUGAUCAGAUGGAGCAGAUGACCAGCGACUGGAGAGGAAAAGAGAUGACCAGCGACUGGAAAGAGACACGAUGAGAGAAAAAAAGGCGAUAACGACAAGAGCCGGCUUGUGCACUGCGGGAGAACAGAAGCAGUGAGACAGCGGUGCCGAUUGCAGUUUAAGGAAGCGGCGGGCGGAGUUGAGAGCUCUGCCCACCCGGCAUAUCAAGACGCGAAUGCGGGAAGGAAGGAGAGGACUCCGCUGGGUUUCCCUUUUACUUCGCUGGAUUUCUUAACUCCCUGGGACUUUUAGGUCGUGGCGCAGGCCACUGGACUUUUAAUGUUGUGUUUUAUUGAUUUUUAUUGUGUUACUCCUUGGCCAAGGUUGUUUUAUUUCAUUUUACAUUUUUAACUAUUUGAAUAUAAUAAAUUAUAUUUUUAAUCAUACAGUUUAAAUCGUGUGCUUUCCCUCGGCAGCUCCACUGCUCUGCCCGUUUUGAGGAAGGUUUCCUUCCUUUAAAAAAAAAAAAACACAAAACAUUGUGGAAAUAAAAAUGAGCCUUUCCGCUCCGUUUACAUAAUUGGCGUUGUCGACAGGAUACGGAGCCAGAGCAGUUGGGGUAGCUGGGGGAAUAGCAAAGAUGAUGUAUGUGUAUUCUGGUGCCCCGGUAUGUUUGAAGUUUGAAGGGUUAGGCGAAAGAAGAAGAUGGAGGAUGGAUUGUUGGAGCCAAAGCCAAGGACCCCUGAGCAGAUGAGUAUGAACAGUGUGCACAAGUGUGAGUGUUGGCCACACCAAGAGUGAAUGGAGAACGUCCAACCGAGGUUGUCAUGGGAGACCAGCUGCAGGCUUGCCGGAGGUGGGGUAAUGAUUUGCUGCUAGGCAGCAGUGCUUGGGAUUAAGCACGAGACCCAGGUUAGGCCUGGAAGUAUCCCCACGGGAGCAGCCGGGUGCAGUGUAGGACCUUAUGGCUUCCGGGUAGCUAUGCUACGAGGACGUGAGAGUGAUUGCUCGUUUGUGGCCUUGGACUGAAUGGUGCACUUUUUUUAUAUUUUUGCUUGGGGGGUAGAAGAUGGAACUGGACUCCAAGAAAGCUUCAUGACUGGAAGCUGGGUUUUUACCUCUUACUGACUGUGUGUCACCUCACCAGAGCGUUAUAGAGAGAGCAUUAGCAGGGACUGCUAAUAUUUUAGUGUGGGGGGAUGUCAUCCAGGGAAGGACGGACGUUGUUUUGCUGUGCUGUAUUUUAAUGUGAAGUGUACAUAUUUAUUUUUUAUAUUGCAUGCAUUAGUUAUAUUUUUGUGCAGUGUUUUAUUUAGUUUGCAUGUUUUAGUUGCUGGCAAAUUGUCCUGGAGAGACUCCGCCCUUUCCCCCGUUUUUUACUAAUUGGACACACCUGAAGAGGAAAGGAAAGGUAAAUUACAGAGUGCUCAAUGACACAUAAAAGGGUUGGAGCCUGUGUUCACAAAAAGACGGACAGAGGAGAAUGCGAGACAGACAGAGGAAACACACAGACGAUGAGAGAGUAGAGAUGAUCAGAUGGAGCAGAUGACCAGCGACUGGAGAGGAAAAGAGAUGACCAGCGACUGGAAAGAGACACGAUGAGAGAAAAAAAGGCGAUAACGACAAGAGCCGGCUUGUGCACUGCGGGAGAACAGAAGCAGUGAGACGGCGGUGCCGAUUGCAGUUUAAAGAAGCGGCGGGCGGAGUUGAGAGCUCUGCCCACCCGGCAUAUCAAGACGCGAAUGCGGGAAGGAAGGAGAGGACUCCGCUGGGUUUUCCUUUUACUUCGCUGGAUUUCUUAACUCCCUGGGACUUUUAGGUCGUGGCGCAGGCCACUGGACUUUUAAUGUUGUGUUUUAUUGAUUUUUAUUGUGUUAUCCCUUGGCCAAGGUUGUUUUAAUUCAUUUUACAUUUUUAACUAUUUAAAUAUAAUAAAUUAUAUUUUUAAUCUUACAGUUUAAAUUGUGUGCUUUCCCUUGGCGGCUCCACUGCUCUGCCCGUUUUGAGGAAGGUUUCCUUCCUUUUAAAAA